CUUCACCGACCCCAACCACAACGGCCGGUCCCCGGACCUUUCCUGACCAUAGGUCGCCAACAACGCCUGCGCCUC
Molecule: antisense RNA, 75 nt
Filed under: Micromonospora chokoriensis
Lineage: Bacteria; Bacillati; Actinomycetota; Actinomycetes; Micromonosporales; Micromonosporaceae
Description: ASpks TB sRNA
Rfam family: ASpks TB sRNA
Source: RNAcentral